Molecule: ribosomal RNA, 429 nt
Filed under: Actinomycetes bacterium
Lineage: Bacteria; Bacillati; Actinomycetota; Actinomycetes
Description: Actinobacteria bacterium partial 16S ribosomal RNA
Rfam family: Bacterial small subunit ribosomal RNA
Source: RNAcentral
UAGGGAAUCUUCCGCAAUGGGCGAAAGCCUGACGGAACAACGCCGCGUGAGUGAUGAAGGUCUUCGGAUCGUAAAACUCUGUUAUUAGGGAAGAACAAAUGUGUAAGUAACUAUGCACGUCUUGACGGUACCUAAUCAGAAAGCCACGGCUAACUACGUGCCAGCAGCCGCGGUAAUACGUAGGUGGCAAGCGUCAUCCGGAAUUAUUGGGCGUAAAGCGCGCGUAGGCGGUUUUUUAAGUCUGAUGUGAAAGCCCACGGCUCAACCGUGGGGGGUCAUUGGAAACUGGAAAACUUGAGUGCAGAAGAGGAAAGUGGAAUUCCAUGUGUAGCAGUGAAAUGCGCAGAGAUAUGGAGGAACACCAGUGGCGAAGGCGACUUUCUGGUCUGUAACUGACGCUGUUGUGCGAAAGCGUGGGGAUCAAACAGG